GUCAGCUGACACAUUCCAGCCAAUCAGCAGCAGACCCUCCCUCCCACCUCCUGGACAGCAUCCAUUUUGAAGCUGCAUUCUUAGUGAGCUGUCCAGGAGGUGGGAGGGUAUGGGAGGGAGGGUCUGCUGCUGAUUGGCUGGAAUGUGUCAGAUG
RNAcentral lists this microRNA precursor (154 nucleotides) under Pelobates cultripes (western spadefoot toad). The record is from RNAcentral. Lineage: Eukaryota; Metazoa; Chordata; Amphibia; Anura; Pelobatidae.